RNAcentral lists this ribosomal RNA (447 nucleotides) under uncultured bacterium. Its description in RNAcentral is "bacterial SSU rRNA". It matches the Rfam family "Bacterial small subunit ribosomal RNA", at positions 329 to 793 of the family's 1533-position model. The record is from RNAcentral.
CCCCAGACUCCUACGGGAGGCAGCAGUGGGGAAUAUUGCACAAUGGGGGAAACCCUGAUGCAGCGACGCCGCGUGAGCGAUGAAGUAUUUCGGUAUGUAAAGCUCUAUCAGCAGGGAAGAAGAUGACGGUACCUGACUAAGAAGCCCCGGCUAACUACGUGCCAGCAGCCGCGGUAAUACGUAGGGGGCAAGCGUUAUCCGGAUUUACUGGGUGUAAAGGGAGCGUAGACGGCGAUGCAAGCCAGAUGUGAAAGCCCGGGGCUCAACCCCGGGACUGCAUUUGGAACUGUGUGGCUGGAGUGUCGGAGAGGCAGGCGGAAUUCCUAGUGUAGCGGUGAAAUGCGUAGAUAUUAGGAGGAACACCAGUGGCGAAGGCGGCCUGCUGGACGAUGACUGACGUUGAGGCUCGAAAGCGUGGGGAGCAAACAGGAUUAGAUACCCCAGUAC